RNAcentral lists this ribosomal RNA (495 nucleotides) under uncultured bacterium. Its description in RNAcentral is "partial 16S ribosomal RNA". It matches the Rfam family "Bacterial small subunit ribosomal RNA", at positions 28 to 507 of the family's 1533-position model. The record is from RNAcentral.
GACGAACGCUGGCGGCGUGCCUAAUACAUGCAAGUAGAACGCUGAAGGCGUAGCUUUCUUCUCUGGAUGAGUUGCGAACGGGUGAGUAACGCGUAGGUAACCUGCCUGGUAGCUGGGGAUAACUAUUGGAAACGAUAGCUAAUACCGCAUAAGAGUAGAUGUUGCAUGACAUUUGCUUAAAAGGUUCAAUUGCAUCACUACCAGUUGGACCUGCGUUGUAUUAGCUAGUUGGUGGGGUAACGGCUCACCAAGGCGACGAUACAUAGCCGACCUGAGAGGGUGGUCAGCCAGACUGGGACGGAGACACGGCACAGACGGCUACGGGAGGCAGCAGUAGGGAAUCGUCGGCAAUGGACGGAAGACAGACCGAGCAACGCGGCGUGAGUGAAGAAGGAUUUCGGAUCGUAGAGCACUGUUGUAAGAGAAGAACGAGUGUGAGAGUGGAAAGUUCACACUGUGACGGUAUCUGACCAGAAAGGGACGGCUAACUACGUG